AGCGAACGCUGGCGGCAGGCUUAACACAUGCAAGUCGAGCGGGCAUCUUCGGAUGUCAGCGGCAGACGGGUGCGUAACACGUGGGAACGUACCCUUCGGUUCGGAACAACUCUGGGAAACUGGAGCUAAUACCGGAUACGCCCUUAUGGGGAAAGGUUUACUGCCGAAGGAUCGGCCCGCGUCUGAUUAGCUGGUUGGUGGGGUAACGGCCUACCAAGGCGACGAUCAGUAGCUGGUCUGAGAGGAUGAUCAGCCACACUGGGACUGAGACACGGCCCAGACUCCUACGGGAGGCAGCAGUGGGGAAUAUUGGACAAUGGGCGCAAGCCUGAUCCAGCCAUGCCGCGUGAGUGAUGAAGGCCUUAGGGUUGUAAAGCUCUUUUGUCCGGGACGAUAAUGACGGUACCGGAAGAAUAAGCCCCGGCUAACUUCGUG
Molecule: ribosomal RNA, 435 nt
Filed under: uncultured bacterium
Lineage: Bacteria
Description: partial 16S ribosomal RNA
Rfam family: Bacterial small subunit ribosomal RNA
Source: RNAcentral